Molecule: RNase P RNA, 353 nt
Filed under: Larsenimonas rhizosphaerae
Lineage: Bacteria; Pseudomonadati; Pseudomonadota; Gammaproteobacteria; Oceanospirillales; Halomonadaceae
Description: Bacterial RNase P class A
Rfam family: Bacterial RNase P class A
About the family: Ribonuclease P (RNase P) is a ubiquitous endoribonuclease, found in archaea, bacteria and eukarya as well as chloroplasts and mitochondria. Its best characterised activity is the generation of mature 5'-ends of tRNAs by cleaving the 5'-leader elements of precursor-tRNAs. Cellular RNase Ps are ribonucleoproteins.
Source: Rfam by way of RNAcentral
GGAGUCGGCCGGACAGUCGCCGCUGAAGCAUGUCUUCGGGGGAGGAAAGUCCGGGCUCCACAGGGCAGAGUGCCAGGUAACGCCUGGGCGGCGCGAGCCGACGGAAAGUGCAGCAGAGAGUAGACCGCCAAAGCAGUCUGACUGCCGGUAAGGGUGAAAGGGUGCGGUAAGAGCGCACCGCGCGACUGGCAACAGCUCGUGGCAUGGUAAACCCCACUCGGAGCAAGACCAAAUAGGAACCCUGAGGUGUGGCCCGCACUGGGUUCGGGUAGGUUGCUUGAGGGACGUGGUGACGCGUCUCCUAGAGGAAUGACUGUCCUCGACAGAACCCGGCUUACAGGCCGACUCCCUCC